This 4726-nucleotide long non-coding RNA is filed under the name Marmota monax (woodchuck). Lineage: Eukaryota; Metazoa; Chordata; Mammalia; Rodentia; Sciuridae. The record is from RNAcentral.
GUUGUCUGGACACCUGGUUGACUACGCAGUAUCUCUGACGACUUUUAUUCUCUUUUGUUUAAAUCAAACCAUGAGUCUUAGUGAAUUUGUUCUCACUGUUAGUAGUUCCUAGAUUUGAGCUUGUUAAGAUCUCUUAAAGGCAAAAAGGGUAAAGAAGAGGAGCAAAAACCCUCUAGUACUGGUGCAACUUCUAGAAUGAAAUAACCCUUGAUUCUUCUGUUUUCUUAACAGACAUGGCUACUGAUUACCAAGCAGGGCACAUGCAACUGCCCAGAGCUGAUGCCAUUCGUUCGCGUCUCAUCGAUACUUUCUCUCUCAUAGAGCAUUUGCAAGGCUUGAGCCAAGCUGUGCCUCGGCACACUCUCCGGGAGAUACUUGGUCAGCUAUUUCUUCGUUACACUUAGUUUUAGACUCCUAUCUUCAUUCUCCAGAGUAGGAAGCAGAGAAAUUUAAGGGUAGAAAAUUAAGGGAAGUUUGUUUCGUUGCUGAUUUGGAGGCUACACUUGAUAAAUUAUCAAGGGUUGUAUAAAUAAAACUUUGAAUCCAGGAAAUAGAGCCCAUGUCACUCCCUUUUAGGCUAUUAGCUUUGACUAACUUUGAAAAGUUUCUCACCAAAGACACUUUGAGUUGAAACUGCUGCUUUCAUUCUUGGGCAUGGUCAGUGUUGGUCUUAAGCCAUAUGUUAAUUCUCACCCCAAACUAACAAGAUUUUUAUUUGCUGUGAGAAGGAGCAACUGCAAGGCAAGUCCUUGUACUAUAAAACUCAUUUUCCGAUCAAUCUCCCUACGUCCAACCCUCCUUUUCAUAACCCCAAAGAAUUUCCUUUAUGUUUGUCCACUCCCCUUUUUUGGAUAGACUCUUGCUGGUUGGCCUUUAACUCCUGGACUCAAGAUUCUCACCCUUCAACUUCAAGUAACUGGGACUAGAGGCAUGUGCUAUCCCUUUUUAAAAUUUUUGUUAUAGAUCCUUCCCUUCAGAAGAAACUUUUGCUGGGAGAUCAGCAUCAGCUAGUGCGAAUAUCCAUAAAGCCUCGACAUGUAGGACGAAUUUCACAUGCCCAGCGAAUGAUGAGCAGGUUGCGUGUGCGCUGCAGUCAGAGGCCACCUCUUUCCUUGUGGGCUGGAUGGGUUCUUGAGAGUAUCCUUUAUGUCUCUGUUUUUUAUGCAUAAUAAUUUGCCAUCUGUGUAUGAUUUCUUUUUCCCGACCCCAAAUACCAUUUUCAUUGUAUCUAACGGUAUCUAUAUAUAUAUUUAUAUAUCCCUACCCAGGUCCUCAUGCUGUAUCUUAUGUUCUUGCUGUUAUUAUUUCAGUUCCAUAAAUCUGAAAGAACUCCAUUUUAUGUUUCCUUAAGAGAAAAUAGGUUCUGUCUUCACAAAUUUCAUCAUCUUCCUCAUCUUCCUGAAUACAAUCGUACUAAUGGUUGAAAUAGGUGAGAACUGAUACUGAAAGAGGAAGUGGGUGGGAGGUAUUUUCUUUUAAAUUGAUCAUUUUACCUUUUAAAACAUUGUUUGAAUUGUGAUAGGGACAAUUCUAUUAAGCCCUCUGGAAUAGAUUUUGUAGAGCUGCUAAGAUCUAGAAACAUUUGGAGGGUUCUCAGGGUACUAGGUUCUCAGGGUACUAGUAGUAGACACAGGGUAGUCUAGACACUUAAAGGUAGGGUGUAAUAUGUAGCAAUGUGACAAAUCCACAAUGAGCUGGAGGUGGGAACAAAACACCUGGCAAUUGGCUUACUUUUAAAAAUAAUUUUCAUAUUUUGUUUCUAAAUGAUGAGAGAGAGCCAGGGCGUGGUGGUGCACACCUGUAAUCCCAGCGUCCCAGGAGAAUGAGUUAGGAAGAUUGCAAGUUCAAAGCCAGCCUCAGCAAUGGCUAGGCACUAAGCAACUCAGUGAGAACCCUGUCUAAAUAAAAUACAAAAUAGGCCUGGGGAUGUGGCUCAGUGGUUGAGUGCCCUUGAGUUCAAUCUCCAGUACCAAAUAAAUAAAUAAAUAAAUAAACAGACAAAUAAAUAAUGAGAGAGAAAAAAGAAAAGAUUUGGCUCAUUUACAAUUCUUACUCUGAAAAUAAUACGUUGCCACCAUGGAUAAUCCUUAUUUCCAAUUAGAAAAUAAAUGUAGCAUCAUUACAGUUUCAUUGACAUUGAUGUUUAAAGUUUUAGAGACAGCUUGAUGUGCUGUAUAAAAUUUUUCAUUGUGAGUGCACUUUAUGGAAUCUAAUGAACAUCAUGAUGACAUAAACUUGCAGAAUUAUUUUCUUCUUUUUUUUUCUUUCAUGGUAUCCAGGGACACUUAACCACUGACCCACAUCCCCAGCCCUUUUUUAAUGUUUUAUUUAGAGACAGGGUCUUACUAAGUUGCUGAGGCCAGCUUUGAACUCACGAUCCUCCUGCCUCAGCCUCCUGAGCCACUGAGAUUAUAGGCUGUGAGCCACUCUCAGUUUAUUUGCUGUUUUGAGAGAGGGUCUCAAUAAAUUGCCUAGGGCUUCCUUAAGUUGCUGAGGCUGGCUUUGAACUUGCAAUCAUCCUGCCUCAGCCUUCCCUGGUGCUGGGAUGACAGGUGUGUAUCACUGCACCUGGCUCUUAUGCUCUUCUUAUCUUUAUUUUGUUUAUUUGUUUUUAUGUGGUGCUGAGGAUCGAAUCUAGUGCCUCACAUUGCAAGGAAAGCACUCUGCCACUGAACCACAACUCCAGCCCUCUUAUGCUCUUCUUAAAGUUGUACUUUUCGGCAUCAGUGUUCCUUACUUAAUUGUGGAUAUCAUUAGCUAAAAUGUUCCUAAAAACAAUGAAAAUUUUAAACUAUAUAAGUGUCAAAAUCUAUACAGUUUGUGUUGUUCAGGGUGAUUAAGUAUGUUCUGAUCUUCUUUAACUGCCAGGUAUAUCAAUCAGAACAUUUGAUGUUCCUUGGAUGGUUCUGUUUUAGAGGGGAAUGUAUUUAGUUACUAAAGAAUAAAUAUGGGAAUUAAAGUAGAGCCCAUAACACCUUUAAAAUCACUAAACUCUGGAACACCUUCAAGAAUUCCCAAGGUACUGUCAUGUAACAAAAAAGAAUUUUCAGGGGUUUGCAAACUUGUUUGAAAAUGCUUUCUAGUUGAAAAACAUCCUGAGAUGCAGAAAGAUAAAACUUUCAAGGUCAUUCAUCUAGAAGCUGGUGGAGAUUACUUUCAAACCCAGGUAUCUGGCCCUGAAAUUUUUUCCUUGAAUUCAGCCUGAAAUUCUGAAUACCGGUUGUUAUAUCAAACAUAUGUCCCUAUACCCAUAACUAGAAAAAGAAAGCUAAUCAAUUACAAAAAUGAGUGCCUUCUGUGAAGGGAUGCUUAAAAGUAUACGGUAGUUUGGAGUGAAAAGAAUCUGGGAGGCUGAGACAGGAUUGCAAGUUCAAAGCCAGCCUUAGCAAAAAGCGAGGGACUAAGCAACUCAGUGAGACCCUGUCUCUAAAUAAAAUAACAAAAUAGGGCUGGGGAUGUGGCUCAGUGGCAGAGUUCCCCUGAAUUCAAUUCCUGGUACCAAAAAAAAAAAAAGGAAAGAAUCUUAGUAUCUGUAAAAUAAUUAAAAUAUUACAGGAUAAUCCCCAUAUGCUAGCUGUAAGAAAAGUAUUGUUAAUUUGAAAAACUAAGUAACAGAAGAUUUAGGGAAAGUAAUAGAAACCAGAUAAUUAAGGCACUAAGGAAUUUAAGAUUAAUUAGGGAUAUAUAUAUAUAUAUAUGUAUUAUUAUGUAUUAUUAUAUAUUAUAUAUAUAUGUAUUAUAUGUAUUAUUAUAUAUGUAUUAUUAUGGAAGGCAAUUCUGCCCUUCUGCAAAAGUCCUUUAAGUCCUAUUGUUCUAACUUAAUGACAUUUCUUAUGUUCUAAAGAUUUUACUAGUUUUUGUUUUGUUUUGUUGGAUGGGGGGAUUGAACCUAGGGACUCUCUACCACUGAGCUACAUUCUGAGACAGGGUCUUGCUAAGUUGCCAAGGCUGGCCUUGAACUUACAGUCCUCCUGCCUCAGCCUCCAUAUAGCUGAGAUUAGAGGCAUGUGCCACUGUGCUUGGCAGGAUUUUACCAGUCUUAUUUUCAAAUCAUGUAACUUGGCCAAAUCAACACUAGUGUUUUAUUAUAGCCCUUUGUAUACAACUAAAUGAGAGAAAGAAGAAACACUGGGGAAUGAUAUUGUUAUAUUGUGUGCAAGUAUGAAAAUGUAACAACAAAUCCUACUAUUAAGUACAACUAUAAUGUAUCAAUAAAAAAAAUGAGGAAAAAAAAAAACAACCCAAAGGCUUAUUUCUACAGUGGAAUUGUAAGCAUUAUUUGAACUCAUCAUUUGCAACUCUUAUUGUUGUCGUUUGUGGAACAUAUAUACAAAUUAUGGUGUGCUCCUCUCUUUGGCAAUGUUGAACUUCUCUUGCAACCAAUGUGAAUUUACCUGAUAUUCUAUGUGCUAGAUUAGGAAGUGGCAAUAGACAACUCUCAAUAUUGAAACUCUACCAUAGAAUCAUAUACAUAUGCCUGACUUGGUUGAUAAAGCUACUGCCUUCUGUCACCCCAAGAGAAGAAUAUUCAAAUGUAGAUCUUCACUAUUAACUCACAGCAGUGACUAAAAUUCCUGGCUGGACUGUGCUGGGCUCCUCAGCUCUUUUUCCAAUAAGAUUCCUUUGCAUUAUUAAGGCAGGCUGUUUUUUUGUUUGUUUGUUUUUUGUUUUUUUUUUUUUUUGUUACCAAGGAUUGAAUUUAGGGGUACUUAACCACUGAGCCACA